Long non-coding RNA from Choloepus didactylus (southern two-toed sloth), 526 nucleotides. RefSeq lists it as uncharacterized. The transcript has 4 exons. NCBI's taxonomy places the organism in Eukaryota, Metazoa, Chordata, Mammalia, Pilosa, Megalonychidae. The record is from RefSeq and is a predicted model, not a curated record.
GCCCUUGUUCUAGGAGGUAUACAGUCUCCUCCUCUGCAAUGUGCAGUGACCUGCUCUGGAUGGAGAGAUGGUGGCCGUAGGAUGGUGGAGGGUGGCAUGGAGGACAAGACAGGCAUACCUCUGAGGAUAAUCACCAACUCUCAAUCUCCCAAUUCCCCAGCUAUUCCAUCAAAAAUUUUUACCGGAGUCCUAACCGAAGAGCUUGGAAGGAUGUGGCCGUGAGUGCAAAGAGGAGAAAAGGACCAGUUUUGAAGAACCAGAAGCAUUCUAUAAAGCAAGCAUGGAGAACCUUACGGUAGAGGACAUCCUAGCUAAGCCCUGGCUCUGAGAUUGUGGUUUAUUCAGAAACUCUUCCAAGUGUUUUAUGUGGAUUAACUCAUUUAAUCCUCACAAGAACACCAUGAGCUUAUUUAGAGAGUAUCCAGCAGAAUUCUAACCAAGAGAGAAGAUCUGCUGGGUGAUGAGUGAGAACAACCUUCUGAGAAGUCACCGUGGCAUCCUGGAGGCUGUGAUGGCCAGAGAGGAG